RNAcentral lists this ribosomal RNA (43 nucleotides) under Fusarium sp. PB1-R3-A Fr. RNAcentral's name for it is "partial 17S ribosomal RNA". The record is from RNAcentral. Lineage: Eukaryota; Fungi; Ascomycota; Sordariomycetes; Hypocreales; Nectriaceae. RNAcentral also lists the same sequence under 1 other name.
GGAAGUAAAAAGUCGUAACAAGGUCUCCGUUGGUGAACCAGCG